CACGUAGGGCGCAAGCGUUGUCCGGAAUUAUUGGGCGUAAAGAGCUCGUAGGCGGUUGGGUAAGUCGGGUGUGAAAACUCCAGGCUCAACUUGGAGACGCCACCCGAUACUGCUCUGACUUGAGUUCGGUAGGGGAGUGGGGAAUUCCUGGUGUAGCGGUGAAAUGCGCAGAUAUCAGGAGGAACACCGGUGGCGAAGGCGCCACUCUGGGCCGAAACUGACGCUGAGGAGCGAAAGCGUGGGUAGCAAACAGG
This 254-nucleotide ribosomal RNA is filed under the name uncultured bacterium. Its description in RNAcentral is "partial 16S ribosomal RNA". It matches the Rfam family "Bacterial small subunit ribosomal RNA", at positions 524 to 776 of the family's 1533-position model. The record is from RNAcentral.